UACGUAGGGUGCGAGCGUUGUCCGGAAUUAUUGGGCGUAAAGAGCUCGUAGGCGGUCUGUCGCGUCGAUCGUGAAAACUUGGGGCUUAACCCUGAGCUUGCGGUCGAUACGGGCAUGACUGGAGUUCGGCAGGGGAGACUGGAAUUCCUGGUGUAGCGGUGAAAUGCGCAGAUAUGAGGAGGAACACCAAUGGCGAAGGCAGCUCGCUGGGACGUGACUGACGCUGAGACGCGAAAGCGUGGGGAGCAAACAGG
Molecule: ribosomal RNA, 254 nt
Filed under: uncultured bacterium
Lineage: Bacteria
Description: partial 16S ribosomal RNA
Rfam family: Bacterial small subunit ribosomal RNA
Source: RNAcentral